CCUACGGGUGGCAGCAGUGGGGAAUAUUGGGCAAUGGGCGCAAGCCUGACCCAGCAACGCCGCGUGAAGGAAGAAGGCUUUCGGGUUGUAAACUUCUUUUCUCAGGGACGAAGCAAGUGACGGUACCUGAGGAAUCAGCCACGGCUCACUACGUGCCAGCAGCCGCGGUAAUACGUAGGUGGCAAGCGUUAUCCGGAUUUACUGGGUGUAAAGGGCGUGGAGGCGGGAAAGCAAGUGAGAUGUGAAAACCAUGGGCUCAACCUGUGGCCUGCAUUUGAAACUGUUGUGCUUGAGUACUGGAGAGGCAGACGGAAUUCCUAGUGUAGCGGUGAAAUGCGUAGAUAUUAGGAGGAACACCGGUGGCGAAGGCGGCCUGCUGGACUGCAACUGACGUUGAGGCCCGAAAGCGUGGGGAGCAAACAGGAUUAGAUACCCGGGUAGUC
Molecule: ribosomal RNA, 443 nt
Filed under: uncultured bacterium
Lineage: Bacteria
Description: partial 16S ribosomal RNA
Rfam family: Bacterial small subunit ribosomal RNA
Source: RNAcentral